This 437-nucleotide RNase P RNA is filed under the name Nitrospinae bacterium RIFCSPLOWO2_12_FULL_45_22. RNAcentral's name for it is "RNase P RNA component class A". It matches the Rfam family "Bacterial RNase P class A". Rfam says of the family: Ribonuclease P (RNase P) is a ubiquitous endoribonuclease, found in archaea, bacteria and eukarya as well as chloroplasts and mitochondria. The record is from RNAcentral. Lineage: Bacteria; Pseudomonadati; Nitrospinota.
AGAGUAAAUCAGAUGGUCGCUGGUAUGGGGCUGGUAGGCAUACCAGAGGAAAGUCCGGGCUCCGCAGAGCAAGGUGCUGGAUAACGUCCAGUGGGGGUGACCCCAAGGAAAGUGCCACAGAAAACAUACCGCCUGUGCAUGAUGGUGCGAGGAAAUUAUUUCCUCGGAGGUUUUAUCCUCAGCAGGUAAGGGUGAAAAGGCGAGGUAAGAGCUCACCAGUUGUCCGGGUGACCGGGCAGGCUAGGUAAACCCCACCUGGAGCAAGACCAAAUAGGAAAGCGAUUAAGGUAAGUAUAAAAAGAUUACCUUAGAGAGGGCUGCUCGCCCAAGCUUUCGGGUAGGUCGCUUGAGGCAUUGGGUAACCAAUGUCCCAGAGAAAUGACCAUCACCACGAGGUAGCUGGUGGGACAGAAUCCGGCUUAUGGUUUACUCUGGUG